This 514-nucleotide ribosomal RNA is filed under the name uncultured bacterium. Its description in RNAcentral is "partial 16S ribosomal RNA". It matches the Rfam family "Bacterial small subunit ribosomal RNA", at positions 28 to 523 of the family's 1533-position model. The record is from RNAcentral.
GAUGAACGCUGGCGGCGUGCCUAAUACAUGCAAGUCGAGCGAACUGAUUAGAAGCUUGCUUCUAUGACGUUAGCGGCGGACGGGUGAGUAACACGUGGGCAACCUGCCUGUAAGACUGGGAUAACUUCGGGAAACCGAAGCUAAUACCGGAUAGGAUCCUCUCCUUCAUGGGAGAUGAUUGAAAGAUGGUUUCGGCUAUCAUUUACAGAUGGGCCCGCGGUGCAUUAGCUAGUUGGUGAGGUAACGGCUCACCAAGGCAACGAUGCAUAGCCGACCUGGGAGGGUGAUCGGGCACACUGGGACUGAGACACGGCCCAGACUCCUACGGUAGGCAGCAGUAGGGAAUCUUCCGCAAUGGACGAAAGUCUGACGGAGCAACGCCGCGCGAGUGAUGAAGGCUUUCGGGUCGUAAAACUCUGUUGUUAGGGAAGAACAAGUACAAGAGUAACUGCUUGUACCUUGACGGUACCUAACCAGAAAGCCACGGCUAACUACGUGCCAGCCGCCGCAGUAA